GGACCUGACUGCUAUCGGAUUGAUACUAAGCCAUGCGAGUCUUUGUAGUAAUACAAGGCAGACGGCUCAGUAACGCGUAGUCAAUCUACCCUAUGGACGAGGAUAACCUCGGGAAACUGAGAAUAAUACUCGAUAGAACAUUAUGCCUGGAAUGGUUUAUGUUCCAAAUGAUUUAUCGCCGUAGGAUGGGACUGCGGCCUAUCAGUUUGUUGGUGAGGUAAUGGCCCACCAAGACUAUUACAGGUACGGGCUCUGAGAGGAGUGGCCCGGAGAUGGGUACUGAGACACGGACCCAGGCCCUAUGGGGCGCAGCAGGCGAGAAAACUUUGCAAUGUGCGAAAGCACGACAAGGUUAAUCCGAGAGGUUUCUGCUAAAGAGACCUUUUGUCGGUCCUAGAAACACCGAUGAAUAAGGGGUGGGCAAGUUCUGGUCUCAAAG
RNAcentral lists this ribosomal RNA (439 nucleotides) under uncultured archaeon. RNAcentral's name for it is "bacterial SSU rRNA". It matches the Rfam family "Archaeal small subunit ribosomal RNA", at positions 19 to 463 of the family's 1478-position model. The record is from RNAcentral.